GCGAGCGAACCGGGAAGAGCUCAAAUUUGUAAUCUGGCGCCCCUCGGGCUCAGAGUUGUAAUCUACAGAGGCGUUUUCCGUGCCGGCCCGUGCCCAACUUUGCUUGGAACAGUGAGAUCAAAGAGGGUGAAAAUCCCGUACUUGACACGACCGCCGGUGCUAUGUGAUACGUCUUCUAAGAGUCGAGUUGUUUGGGAAUGCAGCUCAAAACGGGUGGUAAAUUCCAUCUAAGGCUAAAUAUUGGCGAGAGACCGAUAGCGAACAAGUACCGUGAGGGAAAGAUGAAAAGCACUUUGGAAAGAGAGUUAAACAGCACGUGAAAUUGUUGAAAGGGAAACGAUUGAAGUCAGUCGUGUCCGAGGGGUUCAGCCGGUCCUGCCGGUGCAUUCCUCUCGGACGGGUCAACAUCGGUUUUGUCCGGCGGACAAGGGCAUGGGGAAAGUGGCACCUUUGGGUGUGUUAUAGCCCCGUGUCGCAUACGUCGGACGAGACCGAGGAACGCAGCUCGCCUCACGGCCGGGGUCGCCCACGUACG
RNAcentral lists this ribosomal RNA (535 nucleotides) under Tremella flava. RNAcentral describes it as "LSU rRNA". It matches the Rfam family "Eukaryotic large subunit ribosomal RNA", at positions 89 to 611 of the family's 3401-position model. The record is from RNAcentral. Lineage: Eukaryota; Fungi; Basidiomycota; Tremellomycetes; Tremellales; Tremellaceae.